RNAcentral lists this ribosomal RNA (253 nucleotides) under uncultured Armatimonadota bacterium. RNAcentral's name for it is "uncultured Armatimonadetes bacterium partial 16S ribosomal RNA". It matches the Rfam family "Bacterial small subunit ribosomal RNA", at positions 524 to 776 of the family's 1533-position model. The record is from RNAcentral. Lineage: Bacteria; Bacillati; Armatimonadota.
UACGUAGGGGGCGAGCGUUGUCCGAAUUCACUGGGCGUAAAGCGCGCGUAGGCGGACCUUUAAGUUGGGGGUGAAAUGCCGAGGCUCAACCUCGGAACUGCCUUCAAAACUGGGGGUCUUGAGGUAUGGAGAGGGAAGUGGAAUUCCAGGUGUAGCGGUGAAAUGCGUAGAUAUCUGGAGGAACACCCGUGGCGAAGGCGGCUUCCUGGCCAUAUCCUGACGCUGAGGUGCGAAAGCCAGGGGAGCGAACGGG